AAAUUGAAGAGUUUGAUCAUGGCUCAGAUUGAACGCUGGCGGCAGGCCUAACACAUGCAAGUCGAACGGUAACAGGAAGCAGCUUGCUGCUUUGCUGACGAGUGGCGGACGGGUGAGUAAUGUCUGGGAAACUGCCUGAUGGAGGGGGAUAACUACUGGAAACGGUGGCUAAUACCGCAUAACGUCGCAAGACCAAAGAGGGGGACCUUCGGGCCUCUUGCCAUCAGAUGUGCCCAGAUGGGAUUAGCUUGUUGGUGAGGUAACGGCUCACCAAGGCGACGAUCCCUAGCUGGUCUGAGAGGAUGACCAGCCACACUGGAACUGAGACACGGUCCAGACUCCUACGGGAGGCAGCAGUGGGGAAUAUUGCACAAUGGGCGCAAGCCUGAUGCAGCCAUGCCGCGUGUAUGAAGAAGGCCUUCGGGUUGUAAAGUACUUUCAGCGGGAAGGAAGGUGUUGUGGUUAAUAACCGCAGCAAUUGACGUUACCCGCAGAAGAAGCACCGGCUAACUCCGUGCCAGCAGCCGCGGUAAUACGGAGGGUGCAAGCGUUAAUCGGAAUUACUGGGCGUAAAGCGCACGCAGGCGGUCUGUCAAGUCGGAUGUGAAAUCCCCGGGCUCAACCUGGGAACUGCAUUCGAAACUGGCAGGCUUGAGUCUUGUAGAGGGGGGUAGAAUUCAGGUGUAGCGGUGAAAUGCGUAGAGAUCUGGAGGAAUACCGGUGGCGAAGGCGGCCCCCCUGGACAAAGACUGACGCUCAGGUGCGAAAGCGUGGGGAGCAAACAGGAUUAGAUACCCCGGUAGUCCACGCCGUAAACGAUGUCUACUUGGAGGUUGUGCCCUUGAGGCGUGGCUUCCGGAGCUAACGCGUUAAGUAGACCGCCCGGGAGUACGGCCGCAAGGUUAAAACUCAAAUGAAUUGACGGGGGGCCCGCACAAGCGGUGGAGCAUGUGGUUUAAUUCGAUGCAACGCGAAGAACCUUACACGGUCUUGACAUCCACAGAACUUUCCAGAGAUGGAUUGGUGCCUUCGGGAACUGUGAGACAGGUGCUGCAUGGCUGUCGUCAGCUCGUGUUGUGAAAUGUUGGGUUAAGUCCCGCAACGAGCGCAACCCUUAUCCUUUGUUGCCAGCGAUUAGGUCGGGAACUCAAAGGAGACUGCCAGUGAUAAACUGGAGGAAGGUGGGGAUGACGUCAAGUCAUCAUGGCCCUUACGACCAGGGCUACACACGUGCUACAAUGGCGCAUACAAAGAGAAGCGACCUCGCGAGAGCAAGCGGACCUCAUAAAGUGCGUCGUAGUCCGGAUUGGAGUCUGCAACUCGACUCCAUGAAGUCGGAAUCGCUAGUAAUCGUGGAUCAGAAUGCCACGGUGAAUACGUUCCCGGGCCUUGUACACACCGCCCGUCACACCAUGGGAGUGGGUUGCAAAAGAAGUAGGUAGCUUAACCUUCGGGAGGGCGCUUACCACUUUGUGAUUCAUGACUGGGGUGAAGUCGUAACAAGGUAACCGUAGGGGAACCUGCGGUUGGAUCACCUCCUUACCUUAAAGAA
This 1552-nucleotide ribosomal RNA is filed under the name Salmonella enterica. RNAcentral describes it as "bacterial SSU rRNA". It matches the Rfam family "Bacterial small subunit ribosomal RNA". Lineage: Bacteria; Pseudomonadati; Pseudomonadota; Gammaproteobacteria; Enterobacterales; Enterobacteriaceae. The record is from RNAcentral.